AAUGUGAAUUGCAGAAUUCAGUGAAUCAUCGAAUCUUUGAACGCACAUUGCGCCCUUUGGUAUUCCGAAGGGCAUGCCUGUUCGAGCGUCAUUUCACCACUCAAGCCUGGCUUGGUAUUGGGCGUCGCGGUGUUUCCGCGCGCCUUAAAGUCUUCCGGCUGAG
Molecule: ribosomal RNA, 163 nt
Filed under: Pseudocercospora cordiana
Lineage: Eukaryota; Fungi; Ascomycota; Dothideomycetes; Mycosphaerellales; Mycosphaerellaceae
Description: 5.8S ribosomal RNA
Rfam family: 5.8S ribosomal RNA (bases 1-91)
About the family: 5.8S ribosomal RNA (5.8S rRNA) is a component of the large subunit of the eukaryotic ribosome. It is transcribed by RNA polymerase I as part of the 45S precursor that also contains 18S and 28S rRNA.
Source: RNAcentral